UACGGGGGGUGCAAGCGUUGUCCGGAAUCACUGGGCGUAAAGGGCGCGUAGGUGGCGUCGUAAGUCUGUGGUGAAAGCCCGGAGCUCAACUCCGGGUCUGCCGCGGAUACUGCGAGGCUUGAGUGCUGUAGAGGGGGGUAGAAUGCCGGGUGUAGCGGUGGAAUGCGCAGAUAUCAGGAGGAACACCAAUGGCGAAGGCAGAUCUCUGGGCCGUAACUGACGCUGAGGAGCGAAAGCAUGGGGAGCGAACAGG
This 253-nucleotide ribosomal RNA is filed under the name uncultured bacterium. RNAcentral describes it as "partial 16S ribosomal RNA". It matches the Rfam family "Bacterial small subunit ribosomal RNA", at positions 524 to 776 of the family's 1533-position model. The record is from RNAcentral.